AAGUCGUAACAAGGUCUCCGUAGGUGAACCUGCGGAGGGAUCAUUAACACGUUUCUAAAACGUUACCAACCAACCGCGUGAACUAACUGAAUAAACCCCCCGACCUGGGGGAGGAAUGUGCUGUUGUAUUAUACCUAGUGAUGGAGACACACCAUGUAAGUGGUGUGUCGGGGUGUAAUACAGCUAUGAAUGCGUUAUGAUUUAUCAUUCUGACAUUCGAGGCCGCUUCUCUCUCAGGCUUUCAACCCUCUCUGCCCAUUCCCUCCAUUCAUUGGAGUGGGUAUGAGAACACAAACCAAUUUCACCCCCUUAUAACCAUAGACUAAACCCUAGUGUGUGUUCGAAAGGGCACAAUACACUAACUAUGUUAAAUCAACAUAUCUAAAGCACAACUCUUAGCAACGGAUAUCUUGGUUCUC
RNAcentral lists this unclassified non-coding RNA (419 nucleotides) under fungal sp. RNAcentral's name for it is "partial internal transcribed spacer region". The stretch from base 1 to 46 matches the Rfam family "Eukaryotic small subunit ribosomal RNA", at positions 1786 to 1831 of the family's 1831-position model. The record is from RNAcentral. Lineage: Eukaryota; Fungi.